Molecule: ribosomal RNA, 439 nt
Filed under: uncultured bacterium
Lineage: Bacteria
Description: partial 16S ribosomal RNA
Rfam family: Bacterial small subunit ribosomal RNA
Source: RNAcentral
CUACGGGGGGCUGCAGUGGGGAAUAUUGCACAAUGGACGAAAGUCUGAUGCAGCAACGCCGCGUGGAGGAUGACACAUUUCGGUGCGUAAACUCCUUUUAUAAGAGAAGAUAAUGACGGUAUCUUAUGAAUAAGCUCCGGCUAACUCCGUGCCGGCAGCCGCGGUAAUACGGGGGGAGCAAGCGUUACUCGGAAUUACUGGGCGUAAAGCGCAUGUAGGCGGACUUGUAAGUUGGAAGUGAAAUCCUAUGGCUUAACCAUAGAACUGCUUCCAAAACUACUUGUCUAGAAUGUGGGAGAGGUAGAUGGAAUUUCUGGUGUAGGGGUAAAAUCCGUAGAGAUCAGAAGGAAUACCAAUUGCGAAGGCGAUCUACUGGAACAAUAUUGACGCUGAGAUGCGAAAGCGUGGGGAGCAAACAGGAUUAGAUACCCCUGUAGUC